UUCUGUUUUGUGAUUGGCGCGGCUUGAUCAAAGAAUCGCCCCGUUGAACCAGAGCCUUCGCGACACUUCAAUUUAUUAUUUACUGUCGAAGGCUCUGGAAUCCAGGGUAGUAUCCCCCCUGAGAAUGCAGUAUCCCACUUCUGGAUACUGGUUACCAGUACCAUAAGUAUUAUACCCCGUCCCAUCCAAAUAAGUUUCCAUAACUCUCACUGUUACAAAUUACAGUAACAACAGAAGACCCAACAGUCAACAACUAAACAAUUCAUCAAUAUCCCAUUGAGCCACAAUGCGCCCCAGUGCGCCCUACUUUUUUUUACUUGUCUAAUGCCAGACGAUUUUACUCAACAAUGGGGUUGCUCUGCAGCUUAAAGGGAUACGGCAAUAUAUUUUUUUAUUAUUUCAUUUUAAAGAACUUUUAAAAUUAUAUGUUAAUCUCCUUUACCGAUUUUGCGUAACUUUAUUAUUUCUUGAAAUAUUUUGACUUAAAAUAAUUUGCUGUCCACCACCUUGGAUUAAUUUUUAUGCAGUUAAACAAAGAGCGCAGUGAGUGUGUUAGUUAGUAUGGUCAUGGCGAUAGUAUGUCAGCGGCUGUUAGUGUUUGAGCAUGCGCAAACAACAGGCACGCAUUGUUCGGAAAUCCUUCUAGACUUGGGUGCUUAUUAUCGGAAAGUUCGGGAAUUUUUUUUAUCAUUUUUUAUUUAUUUUUUUUCCCACUGACCCAGUCAGUGUGACAGGUGCUUGGGCCUGGUGUGGGGGCUCAUGGCUGGGUUGCAGGGAACUGCAAGCCAUGAGAGUGGUACAGUAUGUUUGUCUGGGGGCUGGUUUUGGAAGUGGAAGCCCUUGGAUGACCCAGGCACCCAUUAUCCACAAGCGAUACAGUUGUUAAAUCUCAUUAUCGGUGAUUUUAGUGAUGUCAUAAGCAGGGCUGGCCAUAUAAAACUACAUAAACUACCAAAUAACAUUAAGUCUUGUUUUAAAAGUCGUCAGACAGUUUUUUAUAUCAAAUAGUUACUGAAGUAUAUGAUUUUGGGCUCAUUAUAACCAAUUGCUCUAUGGAUAAAAUUCUUGCGUGAUCCUGCUUAUGAUGUCACAUGCAUAUCCACCAAAAUCCAAGAUGGC
Molecule: non-coding RNA, 1119 nt
Organism: Paramuricea clavata
Lineage: Eukaryota; Metazoa; Cnidaria; Anthozoa; Malacalcyonacea; Plexauridae
Source: the annotation of a GenBank genome assembly